UACGGAGGAUGCAAGCGUUAUCCGGAAUGAUUGGGCGUAAAGCGUCCGCAGGUGGCAAUGUAAGUCUGCUGUUAAAGAGUCUAGCUCAACUAGAUAAAAGCAGUGGAAACUACAUAGCUAGAGUACGUUCGGGGCAGAGGGAAUUCCUGGUGUAGCGGUGAAAUGCGCAGAUAUCAAGAGGAACACCUGCGGCGAAGGCGGGUUGCUGGGCCGACACUGACGCUGAGGCGCGAAAGCCAGGGGAGCGAACGGG
This 253-nucleotide ribosomal RNA is filed under the name uncultured bacterium. Its description in RNAcentral is "partial 16S ribosomal RNA". It matches the Rfam family "Bacterial small subunit ribosomal RNA", at positions 524 to 776 of the family's 1533-position model. The record is from RNAcentral.